UACGAAGGGGGCUAGCGUUGCUCGGAAUCACUGGGCGUAAAGGGUGCGUAGGCGGGUCUUUAAGUCAGGGGUGAAAUCCUGGAGCUCAACUCCAGAACUGCCUUUGAUACUGAAGAUCUUGAGUUCGGGAGAGGAGAGUGGAAUAGCCAGUGUAGAGGUGAAAUUCGUAGAUAUUGGCUGGAACACCGGUGGCGAAAGCGGCUCUCUGGCCCGGUUCUGACGCUGAGGCGCGAAAGCGUGGGGAGCAAACAGG
This 253-nucleotide ribosomal RNA is filed under the name uncultured bacterium. RNAcentral describes it as "partial 16S ribosomal RNA". It matches the Rfam family "Bacterial small subunit ribosomal RNA", at positions 524 to 776 of the family's 1533-position model. The record is from RNAcentral.